RNAcentral lists this unclassified non-coding RNA (311 nucleotides) under rhizosphere metagenome. RNAcentral's name for it is "partial ribosomal RNA internal transcribed spacer region". The record is from RNAcentral.
GUAGGUGAACCUGCGGAAGGAUCAUUAACACGUAUCCAUGUAUCAACACUCUGUGAACUCAAAAUCUCCCUGUCAUUGGAGGUGCUGUCAACAUGAUUAGUGAUGGGUGUAUAGCCUAAAAAACUAUACGCAAUCAUGUUGGCUAGGGCUUCGAGCCCAGUGCGCACUGAUGAUAGGCCUUCAUUUCUAUCACUACCAACAAACACUUUUAACUAUAGCUCAUCUUGACUGAUGUACUUAUGUAAGAGAAAUCUGGCAUGAGUCUUUAUCUAAACUAAGCACAACUCUUAGCAAUGGAUAUCUUGGUUCUC